ACGCUGGCGGCAGGCCUAACACAUGCAAGUCGAGCGGAAACGACACUAACAAUCCUUCGGGUGCGUUAAUGGGCGUCGAGCGGCGGACGGGUGAGUAAUGCCUAGGAAAUUGCCUUGAUGUGGGGGAUAACCAUUGGAAACGAUGGCUAAUACCGCAUAAUGCCUACGGGCCAAAGAGGGGGAUCUUCGGACCUCUCGCGUCAAGAUAUGCCUAGGUGGGAUUAGCUAGUUGGUGAGGUAAUGGCUCACCAAGGCGACGAUCCCUAGCUGGUCUGAGAGGAUGAUCAGCCACACUGGAACUGAGACACGGUCCAGACUCCUACGGGAGGCAGCAGUGGGGAAUAUUGCACAAUGGGCGAAAGCCUGAUGCAGCCAUGCCGCGUGUAUGAAGAAGGCCUUCGGGUUGUAAAGUACUUUCAGUUGUGAGGAAGGGUGUGUAGUUAAUAGCUGCRYAUCUUGACGUUAGCAACAGAAGAAGCACCGGCUAACUCCGUGCCAGCAGCCGCGGUAAUACGGAGGGUGCGAGCGUUAAUCGGAAUUACUGGGCGUAAAGCGCAUGCAGGUGGUUCAUUAAGUCAGAUGUGAAAGCCCGGGGCUCAACCUCGGAACUGCAUUUGAAACUGGUGAACUAGAGUGCUGUAGAGGGGGGUAGAAUUUCAGGUGUAGCGGUGAAAUGCGUAGAGAUCUGAAGGAAUACCAGUGGCGAAGGCGGCCCCCUGGACA
Molecule: ribosomal RNA, 723 nt
Filed under: Vibrio sp. 14F07
Lineage: Bacteria; Pseudomonadati; Pseudomonadota; Gammaproteobacteria; Vibrionales; Vibrionaceae
Description: bacterial SSU rRNA
Rfam family: Bacterial small subunit ribosomal RNA
Source: RNAcentral